UACGUAGGGGGCAAGCGUUGUCCGGAUUUAUUGGGCGUAAAGCGCUCGCAGGCGGCUUGAUGCGUCGUGCGUGAAACACCCCGGCUCAACUGGGGAGGGUCGUGCGAUACGGUCAGGCUUGAGGCCAGUAGGGGGACGCGGAAUUCCGGGUGUAGUGGUGGAAUGCGUAGAUAUUGGAAAGACCGCCAAUGGCGAAGGCACUCUACUGGGCCACAACUGACACUGAGAGACGAAAGCUAGGGGAGCAAAUGGG
RNAcentral lists this ribosomal RNA (253 nucleotides) under uncultured bacterium. RNAcentral describes it as "partial 16S ribosomal RNA". It matches the Rfam family "Bacterial small subunit ribosomal RNA", at positions 524 to 776 of the family's 1533-position model. The record is from RNAcentral.